Molecule: ribosomal RNA, 1448 nt
Filed under: uncultured Bordetella sp.
Lineage: Bacteria; Pseudomonadati; Pseudomonadota; Betaproteobacteria; Burkholderiales; Alcaligenaceae
Description: partial 16S-23S ribosomal RNA intergenic spacer
Rfam family: Bacterial small subunit ribosomal RNA
Source: RNAcentral
GGUUUGAUCCUGGCUCAGAUUCGGGCAGGAUGCUUUACAUGCAGUGAACAACGCUGGACUUCGGUCUGGUGGCGAGUGGCGAACGGUGAGUAACAAUCGGAACGUGCCUAGUAGCGGGGGAUAACUACGCGAAAGCGUAGCUAAUACAUACAUGGGGAAAGCGGGGACCUUCGGGCCUCGCACUAUUAGAGCGGCCGAUAUCGGAUUAGCUAGUUGGUGGGGUAACGGCUCACCAAGGCGACGAUCCGUAGCUGGUUGAGAGGACGACCAGCCACACUGGGACUGAGACACGACUGAAUACGGGAGGCAACGGUGGGAAUUUUGGACAAUGGGGGAAACCCCUGAAUUCGGCUAUCCCGCGCAUUAUUUGAUGAAGCGCUGGUUAUCGCCUUUGGCGGAAAAAAGCAGCUGCAGGAUAAUACCCCGUGCAACUGACGGCUUACCUGCAGAAUAAGCACCGGCUAACUACGUGCCAGCAGCCGCGGUAAUACGUAGGGUGCAAGCGUUAAUCGGAAUUACUGGGCGUAAAGCGUCGCAGGCGGUUUCGGGCGAAAUCGUGAAAUCCCGAAACGCUUUGGAACUGCAUUUUAACUACCGAGCUAGAGUGUAUCAGGGAGGUGGAAUUCCGCGUGUAGCAGUGAAAUGCACGUAGAUAUGCGGAGGAACACCGAUGGCGAAGGCAACCUCCUGGGAUAACACUGGCACUCCAUGCACGAAAGCGUGGGGAGCAAAACAGGAUUAUACCCUGGUAGUCCGCCCUAACGUGUCAACUAGCUGUUGGGGCGCUGGUUGCUUGGUAGCUGCAGCUAACGCGUGAAGUUGACCGCCUGGGAGUACAGUCGCAAGAUUAAAACUCAAAGGAAUUGACGGGGACCCGCACAAGCAGUGGAUGUUAGCCAAGAUUAUUCGAUGCAACGCGAAAAACCCUACCUACCCUUGACAUGUCUGGAAUCCCGAAGAGAUUUGGGGGUGCUCGCAAAAGAACGGAACACAGGUGCUGCAGCGGCAUAUCGUCAGCUCGUCAUCGUGAAUGUUGAUUCCGAAGUCCCGCAACGAGCGCAACCCUUGUCAUUAGUUGCUACGAAGGGCACUCUAAUGAGACUGCCGGUGACAAACCGGAGGAAGGUGGGGAUGACGUCAAGUCCUCAUGGCCCUUAUGGGUAGGGCUUCACACGUCAUACAAUGAGUCGGGACAGAGGGUCGCCAGCCCGCGGGGAGCCAAUCGAAGCUGAUCGUAGUCCGGAUCGCAGUCUGCAACUCGACUGCGUGAAGUCGGAAUCGCUAGUAAUCGCGGAUCAGCAUGUCGCGGUGAAUACGUUCCGGGUCUUGUACACACCGCCCGUCACACCAUGGGAGUGGGUUUUACCAGAAGUAGUUAGCCUAACCGUAAGGAGGGCGAUUACCACGGUAGGAUUCAUGACUGGGGUGAAGUCAGCCUUUCUGAGUAG